RNAcentral lists this small RNA (76 nucleotides) under Xanthomonas dyei. RNAcentral's name for it is "sX9 sRNA". It matches the Rfam family "Xanthomonas sRNA sX9". The record is from RNAcentral. Lineage: Bacteria; Pseudomonadati; Pseudomonadota; Gammaproteobacteria; Lysobacterales; Lysobacteraceae.
AUGUACCACGCGUACACUCCGGUUCCUACGCACUGUCCGCACCCACCUGACGACUGCUCGCUAGGUUUUGUUAGCC